AGUGGCGGACGGGUGAGUAACACGUGAGAAUUUACCUUUAGGAGGGGGAUAACAAUCGGAAACGAAUGCUAAUACCCCAUAUGCUUUUGAGUGAAAUGGAUUUAUUCGCCUAAAGAGAAGCUCGCGGCUGAUUAGCUUGUUGGUGAGGUAAAAGCUUACCAAGGCGACGAUCAGUAUCUGGUUUGAGAGGACGAUCAGACACACUGGAACUGAGACACGGUCCAGACUCCUACGGGAGGCAGCAGUGGGGAAUUUUCCGCAAUGGGCGAAAGCCUGACGGAGCAAUACCGCGUGAGGGAAGACUGCCUAUGGGUUGUAAACCUCUUUUUUCAGGGAGGAAAAAAAUGACGUGUACCUGAAGAAUAAGCAUCGGCUAACUCCGUGCCAGCAGCCGCGGUAAGACGGAGGAUGCAAGUGUUAUCCGGAAUCACUGGGCGUAAAGCGUCUGUAGGUGGUUUAAUAAGUCAACUGUUAAAUCUUGAGGCUCAACUUCAAAAUCGCAGUCGAAACUAUUAGACUCGAGUAUAGUAGAGGUAAAGGGAAUUUCCAGUGGAGCGGUGAAAUGCGUAGAUAUUGGAAAGAACACCGAUGGCGAAGGCACUUUACUGGGCUAUUACUGACACUCAGAGACGAAAGCUAGGGUAGCAAAUGGGAUUAGAUACCCCAGUAGUCCUAGCUGUAAACUAUGGAUACUAGA
Molecule: ribosomal RNA, 697 nt
Filed under: uncultured bacterium
Lineage: Bacteria
Description: bacterial SSU rRNA
Rfam family: Bacterial small subunit ribosomal RNA
Source: RNAcentral